Molecule: ribosomal RNA, 533 nt
Filed under: Saccharomyces cerevisiae (brewer's yeast)
Lineage: Eukaryota; Fungi; Ascomycota; Saccharomycetes; Saccharomycetales; Saccharomycetaceae
Description: eukaryotic LSU rRNA
Rfam family: Eukaryotic large subunit ribosomal RNA
Source: RNAcentral
GCGGCAAAAGCUCAAAUUUGAAAUCUGGUACCUUCGGUGCCCGAGUUGUAAUUUGGAGAGGGCAACUUUGGGGCCGUUCCUUGUCUAUGUUCCUUGGAACAGGACGUCAUAGAGGGUGAGAAUCCCGUGUGGCGAGGAGUGCGGUUCUUUGUAAAGUGCCUUCGAAGAGUCGAGUUGUUUGGGAAUGCAGCUCUAAGUGGGUGGUAAAUUCCAUCUAAAGCUAAAUAUUGGCGAGAGACCGAUAGCGAACAAGUACAGUGAUGGAAAGAUGAAAAGAACUUUGAAAAGAGAGUGAAAAAGUACGUGAAAUUGUUGAAAGGGAAGGGCAUUUGAUCAGACAUGGUGUUUUGUGCCCUCUGCUCCUUGUGGGUAGGGGAAUCUCGCAUUUCACUGGGCCAGCAUCAGUUUUGGUGGCAGGAUAAAUCCAUAGGAAUGUAGCUUGCCUCGGUAAGUAUUAUAGCCUGUGGGAAUACUGCCAGCUGGGACUGAGGACUGCGACGUAAGUCAAGGAUGCUGGCAUAAUGGUUAUAUGC